GCACAGCAGAGGCGCAGGCGCAGCACGCAGCCGCUUCCGCCACACUUUGGGGAGCAGUCUACCGCUCCGCACCCGCCUCGCGUGGUUCCCGAGGUUGAACACGACACCGAGGCUCCGGUUUUAAUAUGCAGAAGCGAAGAGGAAGGACAGGGAGACUCAGAAGGCAAAGGCGAAGUUCUGACACAAGAGGAGUGAACGAGAGCUACAGACCAGAAUUUAUAGAGCUGAGAAAAUGGCUGAAAGAUAGAAAGUUUGAAGACACAGGCUUAGUACCUGCCUGCUUUCCAGGAACAGGAAGAGGGCUGAUGAGCAAAACGUCACUGCAGGAGGGACAGAUGAUUAUCUCAUUGCCUGAGAGCUGUCUGCUCACCACGGACACCGUGAUUCGAAGCUCCUUAGGGCCCUACAUUAAGAAGUGGAAGCCUCCUCCAUCUCCUCUGCUGGCCCUGUGCACUUUUCUCGUCUCAGAGAAGCAUGCAGGCGGUCAGUCCCUCUGGAAGUCCUACCUGGACAUUUUACCCAAGUCGUACACCUGCCCGGUCUGCUUGGAGCCGGAAGUGGUAGAUCUUCUGCCCGGACUUUUAAAGGCGAAGGCAGAGGAGCAGAGAGCCCACGUGCAGGACUUGUUUGCCUCCUCCAGAGCCUUCUUCUCCACCCUGCAGCCUCUGUUUGCAGAGUCUGUGGAGAACGUUUUCAGCUACAGCGCCUUCCUGUGGGCCUGGUGCACCGUGAACACCAGAGCUGUGUACCUGAGGUCCAGGAGGAAGGAAUGCCUUUCCGCAGAGGCAGACACGUGUGCCCUUGCUCCGUACCUGGAUCUGCUGAAUCACAGCCCACACGUCCAGGUAAAAGCAGCGUUCAACGAGAAAACCGGCUGCUAUGAGAUUAGAACGGCCUCCGGCUGCAGGAAGCACCAGGAAGUGUUCAUCUGCUACGGCCCCCAUGAUAACCAGCGGCUGCUCCUGGAGUACGGCUUCGUCCCCUUCUGCAAUCCUCACGCCUGUGUUCCUGUCCCAGGAGAGAUGCUGGUGAAGUACCUCCCACUUGCGGAUAAGCAGGUGCACAAGAAGAUGUCCAUUCUGAAGGAUCAUGGCUUUACAGAAAAUUUGACAUUCGGAUGGGAUGGACCUUCUUGGAGGUUACUCACAGCUCUCAAGUUGUUGUGUCUGGAAGCUGAGAAAUUUACAUCCUGGAAAAAAGUACUCCUUGGAGAAGUCAUCUCAGAUACAAACGAGAAGACAAGCUUGGACAUGGCACAGAGAAUAUGCUCUGACUUCAUCGAAGAGACUCAUGCUGUGCUGCGUAAGGUUUCUGACAUGAAGGAAAGGGAAGUGUUGCUGAUAAAUCAACUCACUUUGGUGGAAGCAUUGCGGAUGGAAGAGCUGAGGAUUCUCCAGGCUUCCGCUGAGAUUGUGAGCAGUUUACAAGCCUCCUUUUUGUGACAGCACAGGGCACAUGUGAUUCCCUCCUGUGGAGGGUAUACUUUCUGCAUUUUUACUGAGUGAACUUCGAAGAGCAUCUUCGUGGGAUGGAAUGGUGGCUGCUCCCCGCACUGGGAAGGCUAUCUGCAGGGAGCAGAGGAGGGUUCUAGGCACUGGGUAGCUGAGGACAGACAUACAGCUGAGUCACACUUGUCAUUCAGUGGGAAGGAACAGGGUGGAGUGGUGGAGGGCAGAGUGGGAAGCUGUAAGGCUGGGCAGCCAUGGCGUCUUCCACGGCAGUUCACUCACUGGCCGUUAAUGGUCAAGAGGGAACCGCUAAGACUCUCAGGUACUCUUGGCUUAAGGGACCAGUUGGGGCCAGGUGGCUCUGGUGGCGUUGUGAGGGUUGACAGUGUUGGGCCUUCCCCGUGUGGACUCACUGAGGGACGUGAGCUAGGGGCCUUCUUGUCUUCCCGAGGACAGCGUGCUGAGGGCCUCUUGCAGGCCACAGGCAGGGAAGGACUGAGUCACACAGGUCAGUCUUUUGGCCCUGUCCUGACACUUUCCCUGUGGCAUGGUGUCCCUUGUUCCCAGAAGGCUCUGGGAGGAGAAAUGGCAGAAGGCACAGGGCCAGGGGUUAGGACCAGUGCGCGGGGCGGGGGCGGGGGUGGGGGCGGG
This is a non-coding RNA of Peromyscus maniculatus bairdii (prairie deer mouse), 2099 nucleotides long. The record is from RefSeq and is a predicted model, not a curated record. Lineage: Eukaryota; Metazoa; Chordata; Mammalia; Rodentia; Cricetidae.